GCCCGGUGCAGCAGCAGUU
Molecule: unclassified non-coding RNA, 19 nt
Filed under: Mus musculus (house mouse)
Lineage: Eukaryota; Metazoa; Chordata; Mammalia; Rodentia; Muridae
Description: oocyte_clustered_small_RNA11081
Source: RNAcentral